UUUCAAUAUCAAAAUAGAUCUUUACUAGUGGAAAGACCUACAAUUGUUCUCUGAACAAUUGGUUUUUAAUUAUUAUUUUUUUUUUUUUUUCUUCCGCCUAAUUUUUUUCUUGCGUAGUAUUGAUGUUUCAAAAGAUGUCGCUUAGAUAUUUGGAAUAUGAUAUCGUAUAGUUUAUACGCUUUAAAAAUUUACAACUGCGUAACAAAAUACUUUACGUUGUAAGAGUUAUCUCCCCAAACACUGUUUUUCUUGUGGCCACUACUCCUUCGCAACCGUAAAAGAUUACGACAAAUUUAUUUUACCAAAUUGCUCGUUACAUCUUCAGGAUUAGGAUAUUCAUUUGGACCGAAGCUAUAC
This 357-nucleotide long non-coding RNA is filed under the name Mytilus galloprovincialis (Mediterranean mussel). The record is from RNAcentral. Lineage: Eukaryota; Metazoa; Mollusca; Bivalvia; Mytilida; Mytilidae.